UACGUAGGGUGCGAGCGUUGUCCGGAAUUAUUGGGCGUAAAGGGCUCGUAGGCGGUCUGUCGCGUCGGGAGUGAAAACUCAGGGCUUAACCCUGAGCCUGCUUCCGAUACGGGCAGACUAGAGGUAUGCAGGGGAGAACGGAAUUCCUGGUGUAGCGGUGAAAUGCGCAGAUAUCAGGAGGAACACCAGUGGCGAAGGCGGUUCUCUGGGCAUUACCUGACGCUGAGGAGCGAAAGUGUGGGGAGCAAACAGG
This 253-nucleotide ribosomal RNA is filed under the name uncultured bacterium. Its description in RNAcentral is "partial 16S ribosomal RNA". It matches the Rfam family "Bacterial small subunit ribosomal RNA", at positions 524 to 776 of the family's 1533-position model. The record is from RNAcentral.